RNAcentral lists this ribosomal RNA (379 nucleotides) under uncultured eukaryote. Its description in RNAcentral is "partial 18S ribosomal RNA". It matches the Rfam family "Eukaryotic small subunit ribosomal RNA", at positions 592 to 976 of the family's 1831-position model. The record is from RNAcentral.
CAAUAGCGUAUAUUAAAGUUGUUGCGGUUAAAAGCUCGUAGUUGGAGUUCUGCCAGGUGCCGCCUGUCCGCCCCAGUGGUGAGUACGUGGCGCGCAUUUGGCCCUUUCAAGGGGAGCGUAUCUGCACUUUAUUGUGUGGUGCGGGAUCCUUGACUUUUACUUUGAGGAAAUAGGAGUGUUCCAAGCAGGCUCUCGUCGUGCACAGCUCAGCAUGGAAUAAUAGCAUUGGACCUCGAUUCUAAGCUGUUGGUUGCCAGAAGCGAGGUAAUGAUGAAGAGGGAUAGUUGGGGGCAUUCGUAUUUAACUGUCAGAGGUGAAAUUCUUGGAUUUGUUAAAGACGGACUACUGUGAAAGCAUCUGCCAUGGAUGUUUUCAUUGA